This is a long non-coding RNA of Hibiscus syriacus, 270 nucleotides long. RefSeq lists it as uncharacterized. The record is from RefSeq and is a predicted model, not a curated record. Lineage: Eukaryota; Viridiplantae; Streptophyta; Magnoliopsida; Malvales; Malvaceae. The transcript has 4 exons.
AAGUAGCACGGACAGCAAUACUACUAAGAGAUCAGAUCAGAAGAAAAACAAAAAAAAAUGAGUUGUGUCCUUAGGAAUCAAGGAAGCUGCGUUGCGAUCCGCGCUUUCUCCCCUUCCUCUUCCCUUAACCGUUGCUCUCACGGCUCUGCUUCUUCAGAUGGUGCAGCAUGUGGAAGGCCAGCUUGGAUUGGUAAGGGCCUUACUUGUGUUUGUUUCAAGCGCAAGGGAGCAUAUGAAGGGAUCUGCGUUAACUUGACACCCAAACAGGCA